RNAcentral lists this long non-coding RNA (721 nucleotides) under Homo sapiens (human). RNAcentral's name for it is "novel transcript". The record is from RNAcentral. Lineage: Eukaryota; Metazoa; Chordata; Mammalia; Primates; Hominidae.
AGCCUGUAGAACUUCCGGCAGCAACUGCAAUUAGGGGUAGUCCAGUGCUAAAUUGUCGCAGCCUUGAAAAUAUUCUGCUUCGUUAUUUCGGGCACUCCACAGAUUCUGUUGCGAAGGCAGCCAUCUUUAGUUCGUCUUUCCUAGAGAGCGUUGAGAAGAUUCUGCUCCAUUUUUUCUGAUUAUGGAUUCUGUUCAGAAGGAAGCCGAAUUUUAAGUCAUCGUUCUAGGAUAGAUUCAGCUCCAUUUUCUCUGGUGGUAGAUCUCCAUGGAUGCUAUUGAGAAGGUACUUCUCAAAGUCCACGAGGACAAGGACAUCUUUCCACCGAAUGCCACCUGGUUUAUAACAAAAGGUUUGUCAUCAUUUAAGUCAUUGUUCACCUGUUGGUAAUAUGUCCUUAUUUCUCUCGCAAUAUUGGUAGAUAGACAUUUGUUCACUUCAUUAAUAUUCUUCAUAUUUCAUGUAUAUGUCAAAUACGUAGCAUGCUAAAGUAUUUCAAAAUUUUAUAGCUAUUUUUAAUUAAAAUUAUUUAUAUAAACUAAUUAAUUCAUAUAAAUAAAAUAAUUUCACUGACAGUAAAAACAAAAUUAAGCAGAGGAAAAGCUAGCAUAAAAGUAACAGAAGCCAAAGAAAUCCAGGUUUCUUUCUUAUUAUAAUACAGAUUUGAACAAAUUAUAUAAAAAAUUUAAAAAUAUAAGCAUAGUUCUGAACAAAAUAUCAAAA